This 664-nucleotide long non-coding RNA is filed under the name Mus spicilegus (steppe mouse). RNAcentral describes it as "lncRNA (ENSMSIG00000027373.1)". The record is from RNAcentral. Lineage: Eukaryota; Metazoa; Chordata; Mammalia; Rodentia; Muridae.
GAGAAACUGACACAGCGGUCGCUGGAGCGUCUGUGUCGAUUACAACAGAGAAUUCUCUCCCUGAGCUGACAUCAAGACCUUGUGGCACAGGAAUUCCUGGAACAUCAUGCAGGGAGGCAGCAACACCUGCAUGUCAAGGUUCCUGGACUUUGUUCAGAGUGAUGCACAUAUUCAUGGUGACCAACAGACUCUAUGCAUGUUCAGAAUGCACAAUGAGGACUCUCAGUGCUGGCCCCACUAUCCAGAACCCUGACCUGCUGGAGCUAAACCUGUGCAUUCGGAUGGAGAACUCUCAGGUCCAUCUCCAGCACCACAUCUGCCUGCCUGCCACCAAGCUUCCUGACGUGAUGUGUGGGGAGCCGCCCUCACAUUCGCAGUUGCAAGAUGGCGCUGACAUCCUGUGUUCUGAGUGGUAAACAAAUAAUCUGCGCAUGUGCCAAGGGUAGUUCUUCACUCCAUGUGCUCUGCCUUCCCCGUGACGACAACUCAGCCGAUGGGCUGCAGCCAAUCAGGGAGUGACACGUCCUAGGCGGAGGAUAAUUCUCCUUAAAGGGGACAGGGUUUCGCCAUUCUCUCUCUUGCUCGCUUGCUCUCUUGCUCUUGCUCUCUUGCUCCUGAAGAUGUAAGCAAUAAAGCUCUUGCUCUCUUGCUCCUGAAGAUGUAA